UGCCUGGCUCCCUGAAUGCCAUCUAAGAAGCCUUGGCAAAGAGUGUUGGCAACCUUCUUACUUGGCAUGAGGGGAGUCAUGCAGG
RNAcentral lists this microRNA precursor (85 nucleotides) under Carica papaya (papaya). Its description in RNAcentral is "miR160d stem-loop (cpa-MIR160d)". Its record names the gene cpa-MIR160d. The record is from miRBase by way of RNAcentral. Lineage: Eukaryota; Viridiplantae; Streptophyta; Magnoliopsida; Brassicales; Caricaceae.